RNAcentral lists this ribosomal RNA (253 nucleotides) under uncultured bacterium. RNAcentral describes it as "partial 16S ribosomal RNA". It matches the Rfam family "Bacterial small subunit ribosomal RNA", at positions 524 to 776 of the family's 1533-position model. The record is from RNAcentral.
UACAGAGGUCUCAAGCGUUGUUCGGAUUCAUUGGGCGUAAAGGGUGCGUAGGUGGCGCGGUAAGUCGGGUGUGAAAUUUCGGAGCUUAACUCCGAAACUGCAUUCGAUACUGCCGUGCUUGAGGACUGGAGAGGAGACUGGAAUUUACGAUGUAGCAGUGAAAUGCGUAGAGAUCGUAAGGAAGACCAGUGGCGAAGGCGGGUCUCUGGACAGUUCCUGACACUGAGGCACGAAGGCCAGGGGAGCAAACGGG